CACGAACGCUGGCGGCAGGCCUAACACACGCACGUCGAAUGCCCCGCAAAGGGAGUGGCGCACGGGUGAGGAACGCGUGGGGCUCUGCUCUUCGGAUCGGGAUAACAACGGGACACUAGUGUUAAGACCGGAUACGACCGACGGCUGAAAGAUUCAAUGCCGAAGGAGUAGCCCGCGUAGGAUUAGCUAGGUGGUGAGGUAAGGGCUCACCAAGGCGACGACCCUUAGCUGGUCUGAGAGGAGGAUCAGCCACACUGGGGCUGAGACACGGCCCAGCCUCCUACGGGAGGCAGCAGUGGGGAAUAUUGGGCAAUGGGCGAAAGCCUGAUCCAGCCAUGCCGCGUAAGUGAUGAAGGCCUUAGGGUUGUAAAGCUCUUUCGCCAGGGAAGAUAAUGACGGCACCUGGACAAGAAGCCUCGGCUAACUCCGUGCCAGCCGCCGCGGUAA
Molecule: ribosomal RNA, 447 nt
Filed under: uncultured bacterium
Lineage: Bacteria
Description: partial 16S ribosomal RNA
Rfam family: Bacterial small subunit ribosomal RNA
Source: RNAcentral